UGAGUGACCUGCCCUUAACUCUGGGAUAAGCCUGGGAAACUGGGUCUAAUACCGGAUAUGACUCCUCAUCGCAUGGUGGGGGGUGGAAAGCUUUAUUGUGGUUUUGGAUGGACUCGCGGCCUAUCAGCUUGUUGGUGAGGUAAUGGCUCACCAAGGCGACGACGGGUAGCCGGCCUGAGAGGGCGAUCGGCCACACUGGGACUGAGACACGGCCCAGACUCCUACGGGAGGNAG
Molecule: ribosomal RNA, 234 nt
Filed under: uncultured bacterium
Lineage: Bacteria
Description: partial 16S ribosomal RNA
Rfam family: Bacterial small subunit ribosomal RNA
Source: RNAcentral